Molecule: long non-coding RNA, 22966 nt
Filed under: Prunus persica (peach)
Lineage: Eukaryota; Viridiplantae; Streptophyta; Magnoliopsida; Rosales; Rosaceae
Description: long non-coding RNA (PPER_LNC004028)
Source: RNAcentral
GAAGAUAGUUCCAAACUUUAUUCAUUGUAGGCAAUUGGGAUUGCUAAUAUUAUCAUGUAUUGAUUGUUGAAGCUCUAUUUCUUCCUAGAUGGAUACACAGGGAUGCUUUGUUCAUCCCUGAAGAAGUUACCAGGAUCAACUAAGGUCUUCACUUGAGCAAGUCUCCUGAAGUUAUUCUUGAAGUAACUGAAACCCCAAAUGCUUGCUUGUGCAUAGCUUGUAUUAGCAUCCUUGUUCCUCCCCAAGUCAAGAUCCUUGUAGUUCAAAUAGGCAGCUCUUGGGGACUUUGAAACAUAUGGUGCCAUGUAGGAAUACAGCUUUCUCAUCAUGCCAAUAUGUUUCUCAGUUUCCUUCUCAUCAUCCCAAGUGACCAUAUACUGGAUUUUGAAUAGAUUUCCACUUCUGUGUGGGAAAGGAAUUUCUGAAUUGGAAAUCUCACUCAUUUUUCCGCCAUAAGGUGUCAAUAUGAGGUAAGCCCCUACUUCAAUUAGGUUUUGCCAUAAACCUUCCAAGCCAGCUUCUGAAAUAGGUUCAUUGACAUAGUCUGAUUUUGCUUUGAAGAAGCUCUUAGAUUGUUGAGUCCUAUUGAGCAAAGCUUCUGAUUCGUUUAUUGAGAUGCUAGCAAAGUAAAGAACAGACUCGAUCCAACUCAUUUCAGUGCAAUCGCUGCGGGCUACACUUAACUCUGGAAAAUUGUCCUGCAUCAAAAGGAGAAGUUUCUCCACCGGCCCAAGAAACAAUGAACGGAAUUCAAUAACAAUAGUUUUGCCACCAUUUGUGCCAGCUUUAUCUCCAACACCUAUGACUGUAUCUAGGAAAAGGUCUUCAUGAAACUUGUCUGCAAUGUUUUGCCAUUUAGAAAGAAGUUUGGUUGCACCUUGUUCUGUGGUCUUUGAAAUUGAGAAAACUGUUACAGAUGGAGGGACAGGAACCAACCUAAGUUUCCAUGCCACAAUAACUCCGAAGCUUGAACCUCCCCCUCCUCUAAUAGCCCAAAAGAGUUCUUCUCCCAUGGAUUUUCUGUCAAGAACUCUGCCAUUAACGUCGACAAUUUUAGCAUCAAGGACAUUGUCAGCUGCCAGACCAUACUUCCUGAACAAGGUACCAAAUCCACCUCCACUAAUAAGCCCCCCCACACCCACAGUAGGACAUGACCCUGCUGGAAAUCCAUAAGCCUUACUUUUUUCUGCAAUUCUGUAAUACAACUCUCCAAGAGUAGCACCGGAUUCAACCCAAGCACUCUCAUUUUCUAUGUCAACAUCAAUAGACCGAAGAUUGGAAAGAUCAAUGAUGACAAAAGGAGCUCUGGAUAUGUAAGAUUGGCCCUCGUAGUCAUGGCCCCCGCUUCGGAUUCUUAUCAGUAUGCCGUUUGUCUUGGAGCAAAUUACAGCUGCUUGAACAUGAGAGUCAUGAAAGGGAUAAAUGACAGCUUCUGGUUUUGAUAUUGAAGUGUUCAAGAAUCUGAGGUUUUGUAUGGAAGAUUGCACGACUGAGGCAUAAGCAGAACUGUUUUUGAUGAGAAUGAUUUUGCUACUUGAUUUGAGAUUCUGUAUGUGGGAGGUAAAACAUUGAAGAAAGCUUUCUGUAGCUGAAUUUGAAGUUAUGGACCAAACAGGGUUGAUAAAGAUGAAAAGUAUUGGAAGUAGUUUGAAUAUCUCCAUAUUCAUUUCCUCUGUGCAGUUUGAAGUGUGAAUUGCAUAGGCUAUUAGCUAUAUAUAUAAUAUAUCUACUAUGACGUGGAAAAGUAUGAGUCCAAAUUGGUACAGUAUUUCAGACAAAGUCAAUGCUCAAACUUUAUCCUUUCUUUUUCAGUUAAGGCAAACAAAUAACCUUUGCAAAUAAAAAAAAUGCGCUAGAGAAUUCGUCAGAGACUGAAAGCCUAGUUCUGUACAAGUUCAAAGUCUUCUCGAAAGUUAUAUUUUAGAGUUGAAGACGCCAAAGAUUUCAUUAAUCGCAGGUUGAAUCAUAUGAUCUAUGUCAUCGCUGUCUUUCUCAGUUGUAGUUUUUGGUCAUUAGUUUCGUUAAGUUCAAGAAAUCCUUAUUUGUUGAGCGGGGUUACCACAGUGAUUGUGACUUUUAGUUGAGCACAUAUAAAAUUGUACACAUUUAGUUGCAGUAUUACUUGUUUUAAAUAAAAAAAUAAAAAGUCGCAUUAUUAGUUGCCGUAGACGUAAUUGAAGACUUCUAGAAAAAUCAAUAGCUUACAAUGAAGAAGUUCCAUGGCGGUGGGAUAGCGUAGGUUAGACAAAUAUCCACAAACAUAAUUGAAGAUUGUGGAUGAUUAACAUUUGUGGCUGCGAAUAUUGGAGAGAAUAACAUUUGUGGCUGCGAAUAUUGGAGAGAUUGUCUAAGUCGGCAAACAAUGUCUAUAAGCAGACAAGCUACCCAAAUCUAAGGUAGAAGCUGGCAACCUAUAAUAAGCUAAUCAACUAAAGGUGAUGGGAGUUAACCAAGAGUAUUCCCAAUCAAGGCCAUCUCCAAUCAAGACCAUCUCCAAUCAUAGGCUCACCAAUCUAAGUGAAAUGCCAAAUAGCCCAAACUAAUUGACAGGAUCCGCCCUCGAAUUCUUCGAAAACUGGGACGAAUUCCGUCUUGUUACCGACAUCACCCCGAUGUCGGGGCCACUUACUUAAAAUCGAGACUCUCUACCAAAAUUUUGGCAGAGUCUCUCCUGUAAAUUGUACAAUCCCAACAAAAAUCAACCUGCAUAAUAUACAUAAUAUAAACCCAACCAGCAGUAUGCUUUCAACAUACAACCAUACACACAAAAUGGCCUCCGGUCUCAAGUAAGAACCUAACAUGGGCAAUAACAGAGCAUCUACUGAAUUUAGUUUACAAGAACAUCCAGUGAGUAAAAAGAAAUUACUCGAAGCCUAAUCUAUUGAUGUAAAUGGUUCGGCCUUCGAACACCGCUUGCAACCUUCCUGGAGUGACUACUGUCUGGGGGGCGCAAAACAGAAACAUGUGAGUGGACAAAAACAAAGUUUGAAUUUAAAACAACAUAAUAACCCCACCGUGUAAAAAUAAUGCUCAAAACAUGCAGGUUCGUAAUUCAUAUUUAAAAAUCAAGCACAUUCUUCUCUGAAACCCUUUAAAACCCAAAAUCAGUCAAUCUAUAAACUAAAUUCCCACAAUUAAUACUGUUCUUUCCAACCCACUACAUAUACUCUAAUUGCUUUACACUCACACCUAUAUAUAAAUAUAUAAUUAUAGAUAUGUCAUAAUCUUCUCACACUACCUAGGUACCGGGGAAACAAUCCAACCGGGGGAUUGUUUAACUAGCCCGUAGGAUUUUCAUUUGCUAUCCUGCGUCUAGGGAUGAGCGGUCCAACCGGGGGGUGAAACUCCAUAUCUCACACACCGGAACAUCCAACGCCAUGUGUAGCUCCAAUACUAAGUUCUAUGCGCGCAUACUACAUCAUCACACAUCGAAAAUUUCAACGCCAUGUGUAAUGAUCCCAAGCAAUACACAUAAUAUUCCCAUACACCAGAAAUUUCAACGCCACGUAUGGGAAGUGUCUCACACGCCGGAAAUUCCAACGCCACGUGUGAGACUAAUAACAACAUGUUCUUCCCACACGCCAGAAAUUCCAAUGCCAGGUGUGGGAAGCCUAGUAACUGGGGAUGAUACUUACAUAGUGUAAUCAUACAUCUUCUCUCAACAACCCCUCAUACUCAAAUCCUUCCACAAUCUCACCUCAACAACCCACAUACCCCACAUAUAGACAAUAUAUAUAGAAUUUCCCAAAAUUCAUACAAACAUCCUCUCAGUACUUAGAUAUGUCAAACCCACAAUAUAUUACCAAAGCGCUAUAUGAACAUCAAAUUCAACAUUUGAAUAUUAAUAUAUCCAAUAUACCAUUUAAAACAUUAUGCAUAAAUCUUUCAUCAACAAAACCAUGCGUAUGAUUGAAAACAAAGUCCACUCACAAAUAGUCCCAAGCUGCCCGACCCUACGAGGGUCCCGCCUACUGUGUACGAUUGAUCGGAGCACCUAUUUCAAGAUACGAACCCUUAAUUAAUAUAGAAUCACUUCCAGGACUCUGAUUCACGAUCCGCGAAAUCCUACACAAUUCUAGGAGUGCCUUGAUCAACAAAUUUUAAUUUGAAAACGAUCCAACGGUCAGAACCUAUUGAACCCAGAUAACGCACAAUAUGCGAAAUCCGUUCGAUAGUCAAACGACAUACGAAUUGGAAUCCGAGCACACUUACGCACUCGUGACAACGUGAGGAUUACAACAGGUCAAAACGUGACUUCACCACCCUUGCCCACAUGCCGCCACACGCGCCGGCAGCGCGUGGGUAUGUAGAGUAAUUUUUGGUGAUGAAAAAACUCCACACCACCGCUCACCCUUCCUACCCUAGAUACUACUCGAGGCAAGGAUCAUUUCAUUCAACUACAAGGAGGUCCAAUUUGGACGGCAACCGGCUGGAAUUUCACUUUGAAAUCCGGCCAAAACCUAGAUUCCAAAAUCGGUUUCCCAAACUCAAAAUCGAUCCAAUGCUAUGCAUGUAACACCCCGACUCCAAAUUAAACCCCUUAUUUAAAUUAUUUAAUAAUUUAAGGGGAAUUACAAAUUUACCCUUGAGAUAAGGGCAUUUUGGUCAUAUUCUUAACUGAAGAGAGUUUGAGGCAUUGAAUAGUAUUUUUGGAUAGGUCGUACUGAGACGAGUUCAUAGACACAUAGUGGGCUCGAAUCGGAGUUGUAACGAGAGAGAUAUGGUCAAAAAAAAUCCAGUGGCAAAAUCGUAAUUAUUUCAAAAUGGAAUUUUUUAUAAAAAUUAGAUUUCUCUCUCUCUCUCUCUCUCUCUCUCUCUCUCUCUCUCUCUCUCUCCCGCGAGCUCUUUCUCUCUCUCCCGUCGGUCUCUCUCUCUCUCUCCUCGUAACUCCGGCCACCGGUCACGGCUGUGGACGGGGCCGGUACCAAAAUGACGUGGGCUUCGUCCUCUUCCAGCCCCAGCCGACUCCCGCCUCCAGCCUCCGUGAUUUCGCUGGAAAACGGAGAGGAAGCGGACGGUGUCGUCCGAUCUUCGCCGCCGUCGAUCUCCCUCCUCCGGCCACCGAUUCCGACGAGCAAGGUAUGGUUUCUCACCUACUUUUCAUGCUCUACCUGCCUGUUGGGUAGGAUUGGAUCGAUUCUUAGCGUUGUCAAUUCGAUUUUCGAAUUGAAAUUCGGCCGGUUAAUCGCGAUUCCGGCCACUUCCGAUCAGUUUUUGGGGUAGGUCCAAGAACAAAAGUGGCUCCAAAUAGGGUGUUAUACCUAGGGUAGGAGUUUGGAGCCGUGGUGUUGAGAUUUUCCGGCGAAGCUUUAUCGCUUUGGGCACCCACGCGCUGCCGGCGCGUGGGCAGUGUAGAAAAAGUGGCACUAUGUCUCGAUGAGAUCCUUAGGUUGUCACGAGUGCGUAGAAUUUUGCGGAUCUCAAUUCGGACGUCGUUUGACUAUCGAACGGACGAUCGCAUAUUGUGCGUUAUCAGGGUUCGAUAGGGUGGGACCGUUGGAUGGUCCCAAAUUUAAUAUAUGUUAAUCUAGGUAUUUCUAGGAUCGUGUAGGAAUUCACGGAUUGUGAAUCGGAGCCCCGGAUGUUCCGAAUAAAUAAUUUAAAGUUUAUAUUUUAUAUUAACUGUCAAAUCGUGCGAUCGUGAGCGAUCCGACCGUCCGAUCUGAACCAGACUUGCAGGACGAGUGUCAUAUACCUUAUGAAACCCAUAGGAACUUUCGGAUUGGAAUUUGGAGGUCGUGGGCCCCGCAUGUCCUUUUGACCAGGGUUAGGGUAGUUUGACCCUUAGUUGACCGUGAGUCUCCCGGAGUAAUCUCACCUUUCCAGGGGGAUUAUCGUGUGCUAGAUUAUUGUGGAGGGUUACACAAUAUUAGAAUUAAUAUAGAUAUUUAUAUAUGUUUGUACAAGGGUACAAAAGAGUCUAGAAUGUUAGUUUGAAGUGCUAUACGCACUACCUUAGGUACUUCCCCGGAUUUUGGUUACACUACAAGUACCACCAAGUGAAAGUUAGGUCCCACGUGGCGUAGGUUAUCUGGCGUGCAGACAGGCCCCAUACGUGGCGUUGGUUAUACCGACGUAUGGGGAGAUUUGUGAUAUGAUGUUCAGGUCUCACGUGGCGUAGGUUAUCCGGCGUUGAGACAGGCCCCAUACGUGGCGUUGGUUGUACCGGCGUAUGGGGAGAUAUAUGAUAUUAUGUUAAGGUCGCACGUGGCGUAGGUUAUCCGGCGUGUCGACAGACCCCAUACGUGACGUUGGUUGUACCGGCGUAUGGGGAGAUAUGUGAUAUGAUGUGCAGGUCUCGUGUGGCGUAGGUUAUCCGGCGUUGAGACAUACCCCAUACGUGGCGUUGGUUGUACCGGCGUAUGGGGAGAUAUUAUGAUAGUAUGGCAUGGUCGCACGUGGCGUAGGUUAUCCGGCGUGUUGACAGGCCCCAUACGUGGCGUUGGUUGUACCAGCGUAUGGGGAGAUUAUGUGAAAUACAGAGAAAUGAAAUAAGGUAUCGUCUAUGUGUGGAAUUGGGUUUUAUUGGAAGAACUACGUGUGGCUUGAUCCCUCAAGGAGGGUAUGUAGGCAGCCUAAGGUUAUUAGGUGCAGCCGCAAAUUAAAUGUUAGUUAUAAUUUAUAUUUGAAUUGUUUGCCUUGUUUAAGGCAUGAAUUGUUUUGUUAGCGGGUUUGGUAGUAGUUGAGAAUUAUUAGAAGGCCGAAGGCCGUUUGUGUGAAUUGCAUGAAAUUAUAUUGUGCAUGCUGCCAGUUAUGGAUAUUAAAUGUGUUUUUAUGCAGGUUAAAAUUUUGGAAAAUGUCCAAUUUAUAGAGGAGACUGCCAAAAUUUCGGCAGGAAGUCUCGUUCUUUAGUAAGUGGGCCUGGCGUCGGGAUAAUGUCGGAAAUUCCAAAGGGUCGCCUCGGGUUUUGAAAAAUUCGGGGCGGGUCCUUUCAAUGCAACAGACAGCUAGAACAAGUAAAAAGAGGAAGAACCCUCACCUGUUUCACCGGGUUUAGGUGGCUGCGCAACGACGGAGGAAACCCGGUUCAAACCAGUCAAUACUGUAGCCGGAAUUCGAGGUUUUCGAUUCAGAAAAUUGGUGGUUCGGGUUCGGGGCUUCGAGAGGAGUCAAUCGGGAUCGGUGCACGUCCCGCCGUGGACGGUGCUGCGAGAAUCAGAGAGAGAGAGAGAGAGAGAGAGACGAUUUCGGGGAGAGAGAAAGGAGAGAGAGAGAGUUGUGUGCUAGAGGAGAGAGAAGGAGGGUGAAAAAUCUAAUUUUUACCAAACUCUUUUUGAAAUAAUCACAAGUUUGCCACUGAAAGUAUUUUGAUCACCAAAUCUUUAUUACAACUCCGAUUCAAGCCUACCAUGUCUGCGGACUCUUCUCAGUACGACCUAUGUAACCAUGCCACUCGUUGUCCCUAAAUCCUUCCAGAUAAGAAAAGGACCAAAAUAACCCCUACUUUAAGGGGUAGAUUCGUAAUUUCACUUAAAUAAAUUAAAUAAGGGAUUAAAUUUGGAGUCGGGGUGUUACACUAAUCUAAAUCAAAUGUGGUGCUCAAUAGCCACAUGCCAAUCCGCCUCCAGUUAGGGCUCGUCAAUGGGCCGGGCCGGGCUAGCCUGACCCAAAUUUAAUGGGCUUGGACCGAGUGAGUUGUGCUUUAAAGAAGAGAGACAAAAUACCGGGUUAGGUCGGGUCGGGCUGGGUUUUUUUAAGAAAAUUCAAAGUCGAAGCCCGACCCAUAGACCGGGCUUGGGAAAACCCAUCGGGCCAGGCCUAGCUAAGCCCAACAGGCCAGGCCAAAACGGGCUUACUUCUUUCAAAAAAAAAUUAUAAACUUAAUCUUAAGGGCAUUUUAGUCCAAAUUUGAGAUUAAACUUACUUAAUUCCAACAUUUUCACAUCAAACCAAAUUCAUAGAACACCCAAUAAAGUCACACAACUUAAUAAGAUUUUCCACAAAAGUAAUAAAACUAAGUAUUAUUUUUGAGGUUAUUACAUAAUUAGACCGUAAUAAGUUUUAAGAAAUAAUUUUAAAAAAUAAUGAGUAUCAAAAAAAUAUUUUUUUAAAAGGAUGGUAUGAAUAAAUAUGCAAAUAUUUUGGUGAUGUGUUCAAGAAAAGCAUGAUUAUAUUUGGUGGUACUAUUAUGUUUCGUGAUAUGAUUAUAUUUAGUGAUAUGAUAUGUUGUUCAUCUUAUUUUUAUAUAUAUAAUUGUUGUAUUAAUAAUUGACAUAAAUUAAUGUGCUAAUCAUCCAAUUAUAAACUAGGAAUGAGUAAAGAAAAGUAAAUGAAAUGAAACAAAUUAUAUAUGUGAUUUAAGUAAUAUAAUCCUAAUCCUAAACUCUUAUUAUACAUAAUUAUAUAUGUAUGCAGGCUUAACGGGCCGGGCUUCAGACACCCAAGCCCAAGCCCAGCCCAGCCCAAGGCGGGCCGGGCCAUCUCAAAACCCAUAACGGGCCGGGCCGAGUUUUUUUUCAAUGGGUCGGGCGGGCUCCCAUUGGCCCAUGAGCUCGCGGGCCAAAUUACAACCAAAGGAGAUUAACUCUCUCACUUAUCCUAGGAGUUAUAGAGUUUAACUCUCACAGCCCAAAUCUCAAUUACACCAAGUCACUCUCAAGCUAACCACACACAAGAGUCAAGAACACAGGAUUGUUCUUGCUCACUAAGAAAGAAUACACUAAGAACAAUACAAAGAAAUAAACCUUCCACAAACACAAGGAACAAAUGAAGAAGACUCAACCUUUGAAAUGGCUUGAUCUUCCCUCAACAUCUUGUGUAGCCAAAGAGGAGUUUAUCUCCACCUUCAUAGUGAUGCUCUCUAGUAUUUCUCUCUGUGUGAAGAAGCACUUCUGUUUUAGCCUAUCUGAGCAAUGGUGCUCACGGCAUGCACCUCCAAAUGGUGAGACAUGUUGCCCCCCUUUCUAUCUGCCAAGUCUUCUUUAUAUAACCAAAGAAUUUGGUCCAACAGCUGCUUGCAUGAAGAAACCAUGCAAGUUGUCCUGAGCACUUUCAAAGUCCUCCACAAGACAAGAAAUGCACCGAAAGAGCACAACAACCAGCAUUGGAAAAGAAACCAGCUGCUCCUCUUUCUCAUGUCUUUGGUGCAGUGCGGCACACCUGCACACUCAUCUCCUUCUACCAACGAACCCAAGUUGGCUUCUCAAAGAACCCAAGAGUCAAAAAGUAGUAGCAAUAAUACAAUGACUAUUCUACCUCUCUCUCUUGUUCUCACGGGUACAAACAACAAUGUGGCCAAUAUAAUAUUGAAGGCUAAUAAACAAAGAAAGAAAGAUUUCUUUCUCAUAAUGGCAGUCACCGACAAAGGAAAUGCCCAAAGCUGUCACAAAAGAUGGUGUACAUCUCUCAAGUGCUGGCACCUACUCCAUCUCUGUCUCCAGCCUUUUAACAAAGGGAUUUGCCAUCACUAUGUUUUCAUAAUUGUGAAAUAUCUGGGGAGAUUGUACCAAAGCAACCUUAAAUGCAAAAGAAACUAGUUUAAUCAAAGUAAAAAUUAAAUCUUCAAAUUAGACCACACGAACCAAUCUAUUGUUUAUUCUGUUACACGAACCAAUCUAGUUGUUCUUGACAUUCUAUUUUUCCCUCCAAUGGAAACACAGGGAUGCUUUGUUCCCUGAAAAAGUUACCAGGAUCAACUAAGGUCUUAACAUGAACAAGUCCCCUAAAGUUAUUCUUGAAAUACUUCAAACCCCAAAUGCUUGCUUCUGCAUAGCUUGUAUCAGCAUCCUUGUUCCUGAAAGGAAUAGAACGUAUGGGGUAAAGCCUCAAUCUUCAUGAGGGCAUAUUGUAUUGAUUUAUACAGUAUUACAGAUAGAGUCCUAUAUCAAAUAUGAUAAGGAUACAAUGUUAUCAGAUAACCAAGAAGAUAAACGUAAAUACAAGAUAAGAGUCCUAAGGACAAUAGUCAUCUAAUACACCCCCGCAAGCUGACAGGGGAGGAACGCACUGGAAGCUUGGAGGUCAGCAGCUGGAAACGUGGAAUAGACAACCCCUUCGUAAAAAUGUCGGCAAUUUGGUCAUGAGUAGCAAGAUAACGAACGUCAAGCUCCUGCCGCACAACUUUUUCACGAACAUAAUGAUAAUCAACUUCAACAUGACGAGUACGGGCAUGGAAGACAGGAUUGGAGGCCAAGGAGAUGGCACUAAUGUUGUCACACCAAAGUUUAGGACAUGAAAGAGAAAGCUGCAGAUCACGAAAUAGUGCACGGAACCAAGAAAUUGCAGCAGCAGUAUAAGCAAGUUGGCGGUACUCGGCUUCGGUGCUGGAGCGAGAGACACCUCCUUGCUUCUUAGAACUCCAGGAAAUUAAAUUAGACCCAAGAUACAAGCAGUAGCCACCCGUAGAGCGACGAUCAUCGGGAUCACCGGCAUAGUCCGCAUCAGAAUAAGCCAUUAAAGACAGGGAACCAGGUUUAUAGAACAAGCCAUGAGUGGAAGUACCAUUAAGAUAGCGAAGAAUACGUUUGACAGCAACCCAAUGAGUAGAGGUAGGUUGGUGCAUAAACUGGCAGACAUGGUUCACAGCAAAGGCAAUAUCAGGGCGUGUGAGAGUGAGAUAUUGCAACGCACCAACGACACUGCGAUACUCAGAAGGGUCAUCCAAUGGAGCACCAUCAUGGAGGCUAAGACGACGUCCACUGGCAACAGGCGAUGAAAUAUGUUUGGCGUCCUGCAUCUUUGUGCGUGUCAACAAGUCCUUUAUAUACUUGGAUUGAGUGAGAGAAAGCCCGUUAGGAGUGCGAAGAAUUUCCAUGCCCAGAAAAUAAUGAACAGGCCCAAGGUCCUUCAUGGAGAAGAGACGGCUCAAGUCUUGAAUGAGUUUGGAGAUGUGGGCUGGGUCAUUGCCUGUAAUUAAAAUGUCAUCAACAUAAAUUAAUAAAUAAACUCGAAUGGACCCAUGAAGAUAGAUGAAUAAAGAAGAGUCGGCUGUGGAAGCAAUGAAUCCCAAAUCUUCCAAAUGAGUGGAGAAACAUUUAAACCAGGCCCGAGGGGCUUGUUUGAGCCCAUACAGAGAACGCUUAAGACGACAAACAUGGUCAGGAAAUUGGGGGUCAAUGAACCCAGUGGGCUGACGCAUAUAAACCUCAUCAUCUAGAUAGCCGUGGAGAAAAGCAUUCUGAACGUCCAACUGACGAACGGGCCAUUGAAAUUGAACAGAGAGGGCUAAGAUAAGACGGAUGGUGGAAUGAUUCACAACUGGGCUAAAUGUCUCGCCAUAAUCCAACCCUUCUUGCUGAUGAAAACCAUUAGCCACUAAGCGGGCCUUGUAACGUUGAACCGAGCCAUCAGAAUUGUGUUUGAUACGAAACACCCAUUUAUUCGGCAAGACAUUCAAGGUGGGCAUUGGAGGAACCAGGACCCAAGUACCGGCUCGUUGAAGAGCAUUAAAUUCCUCGCCCAUAGCAGCCCGCCAUUCCUGAAAUUUAUUAGCCUGGCUGAAACAAGUGGGCUCAACAAGAUCAUUAGAAGAGGCCAAGAAAGCAUGAUUUGCAUAUUUAGGAUUGGGCUUAUGAACACCAGUUUUAGCACGAGUCACCAUAGAAUGAGUAGUAGAAGGUCUUACCCGAGAAGUAGCCGAAGGUGAUGAGUGUCUUGAGGAACUUGGUAAAACAGGUUCAGGGUCAGGAGAGGGAAAAGUGAGGAUGGUUCUAUGUGGGGUGCGACGGUAAACUUGGAGAGAACUAGGUGGGGAGUGUUGGAGUAUUUGGGAGGCAACGGCUGUGGGACUAGAUGUGGUAUUGGGCAAGAGAGAAGAUAAGUGUGGGCUGGAGGAUAUGUGAGGUGGCGUGACAAUUUGGUGGCUAUGGGGCUGUGAGGCAGCCAGCUGGUUGGGAAAAGACCCAAAAAUUUGUAAAGGUGGUGCAGAAUCCGCAGAAGAGGAAGAAGAAAUUGGGGCAUGAGGGCCCUUGGUCUCUUGAAAGGGAAAGCAAUGUUCAUCAAAAAUAACAUGACGGGAUAAACGUAAAUACAAGAUAAGAGUCCUAAGGACAAUAGUCAUCUAAUAGUUCCUUCCCAAGUCCAGAUCCCUAUAGUUCAAAUAGGCAGCUCUUGGGGACUUUGAAACAUAUGGUGCCAUGGAGGCAUACAGCCUUCUUAACCAACCAAUAUUCUUUUCAGUUUCCUUGUCAUCAUUCCAAAAGACCAAAUACUGGAUUUCAAAUAAAUUUCCUUUUCUAUGUGGGAAAGGAGUUUCUGAAGCAGAAAUCUCACUCAUUCUUCCACCAUAAGGUGUCAGUAUCAACUCGGAUGCCUCCAGUUGAAGCAUUCUUUGCCAUAAAUCUUCCAAGCCAGCUUCUGAAAUUGGUUCUGUCACAUAAUCUGAUGUUGCUUUGAAGAAUCUCUUAGAUGGUUCAGUCCGCUGAAGCAAGACGUCUACUUCGUUACUUGGGAGGCCUUCAAAGUAUAGAACAGACUCAAUCCAACUCAUUUCCGUGAAUUUGCUCUGGUCUAAACAUAAGUCUGGGAAAUUGUCUUGCAUCCAAGGGAGAAAUUUCUCAAAUGUCUCAAGAAACAAGAAAUCAAAUAUAACUGUAAUAGUUUUUCCAUCAUUUUUACCAGCUCCAUUUGCAACUUGUACAAGUAAACGCAGGAAGUGCUCUUCAGGAAUUCUAUCUGCGACAACUUGCCAUUUAGAUACAAAUUUGGUUGCACCUUGUUCUAUGGUCUUUGAUUCCCUGUAAACUGUUACAGAUGGAGGAACACGAACCAACCUAAGUUUCCAUGUCAGAAUGACUCCAAAGCUUGAGCCUCCCCCUCCUCUAAUAGCCCAAAAGAGGUCUUCUCCCAUGGAUUUUCUGUCAAGAACUCUCCCAUUAACGUCAACAAUCUUAGCAUCAAGGACAUUGUCAGCUGCCAGACCAUACUUCCUGAACAACGUACCAAAUCCACCUCCGCUAAUAUGUCCCCCAACACCAACUGUGUGACAAAUCCCUCCUGGAAAUCCACAGACUUUACUCUUUUGUGCAAUUGCGUAAUAAAACUCUCCGAUAGUAGCACCUGACUCGACCCAAGAACUCUCAUUCUCAAUGUCAAUAUCGAUGGAUCGAAGAUUGAAAAGAUCAAUGAUGAUGAAAGGAGUUUCAGAUACAUAAGAUAGGCCCUCAUAGUCGUGGCCCCCGCUUCAGAUUCUUAUAAGUAUGCCCUCUUUCUUGGAGCAGAUUAUAGCUGCUUGAACAUGAGAGCCAUGAAGAGGAUUUAUGAUAGCUUCUGGUUUUGGUGUUGAAGGGUUUAAGAAUCUGAGAUUCCUUAUGGAAGAUUCCAAGACUGAGGAAUAAGCAGAACUGUUUUUGGUAAUGAUGAUUUUGCUACUUGAGUUGAAAUUCUAUAUGUGGGAGUGGGAGGUAAAACAGUGGAGAAAGCUUUGUGUAGCUGAAUUUGAAGUUGUGGACCAAACUGAGUUGAAAAGGAUGAAAAGUAGAGGAAGUAGUCUCAUGUGCAAGGUCACCAUUUUCAUUUCCUCUGUAUGAAAUGCAUGAGCUCUUAGCUCACUCGAAAGAUUAUUGCAGACAUUAGGUGUGCAUAUUGAAGACAAAGCAAAGGUUCAGUAUGUGUCUCUUACUUCUGUCAUGUUGAUGAUUGGCUCAAAAAAUAGUCAAAAGGCAAAACUGCUUUCGGCUGGCAGACAUCUUGCGGUGCUUUCGGCUAGCAGACAAAUUGGAGACAAAUUAAUGGCUAGCAUUGAUGGCUUACUUUUACCUUUUUUGACUUGUGUGUUUUGCUUUUUCCGUUGGGUGGUUGAAGAGCAAAUGUUUGGCUUAUAAAAGGGAACAUGCAUUUGGGAAAAAUGUAGAGCGGAAAGCACCGAGAGUUGAGUUGAUGAGAGAAGAGAGAAGUUGGGAGAGAGAAAAAUAAUAGUUUGGGCAACUAAGCUUUUGUUGCUAUUGUUGAUUAUUUUUCCCUCUCUAAAUUGUACUCAAUUUGUAUCCCCUUUAUAUUCUUGAGUGUGUGAGCUUGGGUAUAUUUGGGGCUUGGGUUUUCUGAGUGGUUAAACACUAUUGUAUUUUCUCAUUGAUUAUAGUGGAAUACUCCGUCGUCUCCAAACUGGAUGUAGGCAAUUGCCGAACCAGUAUAAAUCUUGGUGUUGUUCUUGUUGAUUAUUUUUGUUCUAUUUUUCUCCUGUCUGUUGUUAUUUAUUUUUCACUCGCAGUUGGUUGACGCUUCCGCACAACAAGUGGUAUCAGAGCUCCAGUUUUUCGACUGGGGUUUCGUGGGAGUGAAAAAUCUGUCGGUGCUACAGUGACGGGUGAAUAGUGCACGUGAAUAGUGUCGGUGCUACAGUGCCCCCCGUGAAUAGUGCUGUGCUACAGUAGCAGUGAAUAGUGCCGGGCAGAUUUGAUGGCUGGAGAAAAAGUUGAAAUUUUGAAGGAAAAGGAAUCGACAUCGUCUUCGUCGGCACCUACAUCCAAUAGACAUCCAAUUGCCAGUACAAGGUUAGAGGUUGAUAAAUUUAAUGGCUCCAAUAAUUUUGGUAUGUGGCAAUGUGAAGUUAUGGAUGUGUUGUAUCAACAAGAGUUGGAUAUGGUUCUGGAGGAUAAACCAGAAGAUAUUGAUGACAAGCAGUGGACUCGAAUUAAUCUCCAUGCUUGUGCCACUAUUCGAUCGUUCCUUGAUAAGGAGUUGAAAUACCCGUAUAUGAAGGAAACUUCUGCUAAGAAGUUAUGGAUGAAAUUGGAGGAGAAGUAUAUGACCAAGAGCGCAGAAAAUCGGCUCUUCUUGAAGAAACGACUCUUCCGAUUUCAAUAUCGCUCAGGUAUUUCUAUGCAUGAACACCUCAAUGAUUAUAAUAAAAUACUUGCUGAUUUAGCAAAUCUUGAUGUGAUAAUUCCUGACGAGGAUAAGGCACUAUGUUUGUUAAAUUCAUUGCCUGAUGAUUAUGAUCAUUUGACAACUACUUUGUUGUAUGGAAAAUCCGAGGUGAAACUGGAUGAGGUGUCUGCGGCAUUGGUGAAUCAUGAGUGUCGAAAGAAGGAACAGAAGACUCAAAAUUCACAAACCGAGGCACUUGUUGCAAGGGGUCGAACAGAGGAAAGAAAAUCUGGGAAGCGGGGAAAAUCUCGUUCAAAGUCACGAGGGAAGUUUCCUGCUAAAGAUGAAUGUGCCUUUUGUCUCCAAAAGGGUCAUUGGAAGAAAGACUGCCCCAAAUUGAAGAACAAAGAGAAGGAGAAAGCCGGUUCUGAAGCAAAUGUUGCAAAAUCUGGAGAUGUUGAUUUCGAGUUUGCUUUGGCUAGUUCAUCUGCUGAUGGUCACUCAACUGAGUGGAUUUUGGAUUCAGGUUGCACCUAUCAUAUGUGUCCCAUUCGGGAAUGGUUUUCUAGCUUCGAGGAGCUGGAUGAUGAAGUUGUUUUGAUGGGCAAUAAUAAUGCCUGCAAAACACAAGGGAUAGGCAAAAUCUGUUUGAAGAUGCAUGAUGGAACAGUCAGAGAAUUGAGUGAUGUUCGGUAUGUACCGGAUAUGAAGAAGAAUCUCAUCUCAUUGGGCGCUUUGGAAUCCAAGGGUCUCAAGAUCACCAUGGAGGGUGGAGUUCUUAAAGCUGUGUACGGGGCACUGGUGGUGAUGAAAGGUAUAAGACGAAAUAACUUGUAUUUCUUGCAGGGUAGUACAGUUAUUGGUGGAGCAGCUGUCACCGAAGCUGCUGACGCAGAUAGCACAGACACCACAAGGUUAUGGCAUAUGCGUCUUGGGCAUGCUGGUGAAAAAGCGUUGCAAGGAUUGGUGAAGCAAGGCUUAUUGAAAGGUGCGAAGGCAUGCAAAUUGGAAUUCUGUGAAUAUUGUGUGCUGGGUAAGCAAACUAGAGUGAAAUUUGGCACUGCUAUUCACCACACUAAGGGCAUUCUAGAUUAUGUUCACACUGAUGUUUGGGGACCUUCCAAGAAUGCAUCUUGGGGAGGUAGCCAUUAUUUUGUCUCCUUUGUUGAUGACUUCUCUAGAAGAAUAUGGGUGUACACCAUGAAGCAUAAAGAUGAAGUCUUGAAGAUAUUCCUGAAGUGGAAAAAGAUGAUUGAAACGCAAAGCGGUCGAAAGAUCAAGACUCUCAGAUCAGACAAUGGUGGUGAAUAUAAGUCUGAUCCUUUCUUGAAAGUUUGUCAAGAUGAGGGUAUUGUGAGGCACUUCACGGUUAGGGAGACACCGCAACAGAAUGGGGUGGCAGAGUGCAUGAACCGUACUUUGCUUGAGAAAGUUCGGUGUAUGUUGUCUAAUGCUGGUUUAGGCAAGGCGUUUUGGGCUGAGGCGAUUACUUAUGCAAGCCAUCUCAUUAAUCGGUUGCCUGCUGCUGCGAAUGAGGGCAAAACGCCCAUGGAGGUAUGGUCUGGUAAACCUUGUACUGAUUACAAGUAUUUACUCAUAUUUGGUUGUCCUGCUUACUAUCAUGUCAGGGAAAGCAAGUUAGAUCCAAGAGCAAAGAAAGCUCUAUUUAUGGGAUUUAGCACUGGCGUGAAGGGAUACCGACUUUGGUGUCCAUAUGAGAAGAAAUUUGUUGUAAGCAGAGAUGUGACUUUUGAUGAGGCUGCUAUGGUAAAUCAGAACAAGCAUGAAGGUGAAAUUGAAGCGACUAAGACCAUGAGUAGUUCAAAGCAGGUGGAGUUACUGAAGACUCCAGUUGUUCCAGUAAGGUCUGAUACUACAGACACUAGUCCUACAGUUGAUUCUGAUGAAGAGGACGAGGAUGAUGAAGAGGAGGCACCUACCCAAGAGCCUCCACAGCAACAAGAUUCUAUUGCAAUCAGAAGAUCGAGAAGGGAGAUUCGAAAGCCUGUUCGAUUUACUGAUAUUGUGGCAUAUGCACUUCCCGUUAUUGAAGAUGAUAUUCCAUCCGCCUACAAAGAAGCUGUCAGAAGUUCAGAGAGCGUGGAGUGGAAGAAAUCUAUGGAUGAAGAGAUGAAGUCUCUUCAUAAAAAUGAGACUUGGGAGCUGGUUCAGUUACCAAAGGGGAAGAAAGCAAUUGGUUGCAAAUGGGUUUAUGCCAAGAAGAUGGAAUCUUUGGGAAAAGACAAUGUGAGAUUCAAAGCCAGACUAGUAGCUAAAGGAUGUUUGCAAAUUGCAAAAAUCAUUGUACGGCUUGAAGCAGUCUCCAAGACAAUGGUAUAAGCGAUUUGAUCGGUUUAUGAUCGGGCAGAAGUACACAAGAAGUCAUUAUGACCAUUGUGUAUACUUUCGCAAGUUACAAGAUGGAACCUUCAUCUAUCUGCUUUUAUAUGUUGAUGAUAUGCUUAUAGCAUGUAAAAGCAAAGUGGAGAUUGAAAGGUUGAAGACUCAACUGAGUAAUGAAUUUGAGAUGAAGGACUUAGGAGAAGCUCGGAAGAUACUGGGUAUGGAAAUUGAAAGAGAUAGAGCGAAGGGCAAGAUUAGUCUGUGUCAAAAGCAGUAUUUGAAGAAGGUACUACAGCGUUUCGGGAUGAAUGAAAAUUCAAAACCGGUUAGUACACCUCUUGCCCCUCAUUUCAAACUUAGUGCUUCUAUGUCUCCUAAAACUGGUGAAGAGAGUCAUUACAUGGCUCAAAUUCCAUAUGCAAGUGCUGUUGGUAGUUUGAUGUAUGCUAUGGUGUGUACGAGGCCUGAUAUUUCACAAGCUGUUAGUAUUGUCAGUAGAUAUAUGCAUAAUCCAGGAAAAGGGCAUUGGCAAGCUGUGAAAUGGAUUCUACGGUAUAUUCUGGGUACUGUGGAUGUUGGUUUAUUGUUUCAGCAUGAUAAAGUUACUGGUCAAUGUGUUGUUGGAUAUGUGGAUUCUGAUUACGCAGGUGAUUUGGACAAGCGUAGGUCCACUACAGGUUUUGUAUUCACUAUUGCUGGAGGUCCAGUGAGUUGGAGGUCGAUUCUGCAAUCUACAGUUGCUCUGUCGACUAUGGAGGCUGAAUACAUGGCGGUAACAGAAGCUAUAAAGGAAACCAUCUGGCUUCAAGGGUUGCUUGAUGACUUGGGGAUUGAACAGGACCAUGUGGAUGUUCAUUGUGACAGUCAGAGUGCUAUUUAUUUAGCAAAGAAUCAAGUUCAUCAUGCACGUACAAAACACAUUGACGUGAGGUUCCAUUUUGUUCGUGAGAUUAUUGACGAGGGAAAUAUUCUUCUUCAGAAGAUUGGGACCGCUGAGAAUCCUGCGGAUAUGUUGACAAAGCCAGUUUCGUUGCUCAAGUUUAAGCAUUGCUUAGACUUAAUUGGCAUUUGUAAAGUUUGUUGAUUGCCCCAUGGGGGAUUGGGAGACGACCAUUGAGAGUGUUGCUUCGAGGUUUUGAGCCAAGGUGGAGAUUGUUGAUGAUUGGCUCAAAAAAUAGUCAAAAGGCAAAACUGCUUUCGGCUGGCAGACAUCUUGCGGUGCUUUCGGCUAGCAGACAAAUUGGAGACAAAUUAAUGGCUAGCAUUGAUGGCUUACUUUUACCUUUUUUGACUUGUGUGUUUUGCUUUUUCCGUUGGGUGGUUGAAGAGCAAAUGUUUGGCUUAUAAAAGGGAACAUGCAUUUGGGAAAAAUGUAGAGCGGAAAGCACCGAGAGUUGAUGAGAGAAGAGAGAAGUUGGGAGAGAGAAAAAUAAUAGUUUGGGCAACUAAGCUUUUGUUGCUAUUGUUGAUUAUUUUUCCCUCUCUAAAUUGUACUCAAUUUGUAUCCCCUUUAUAUUCUUGAGUGUGUGAGCUUGGGUAUAUUUGGGGCUUGGGUUUUCUGAGUGGUUAAACACUAUUGUAUUUUCUCAUUGAUUAUAGUGGAAUACUCCGUCGUCUCCAAACUGGAUGUAGGCAAUUCUCGCAGUUGGUUGACGCUUCCGCACAACAUGUCAGUUAUUAUAGAAGAAACAAGUGGCCUUUUUAAAUACUGAAACAUACGUAAGAGCAUGAAAACAAAACUCUACCGAUUUAGAGUCUUCUCAAAAACUUAUUUUAUAAUUUGAGAUACAAAUGAUUUAAUAAUCGCGAUGUGGAUCAUAUUAUCCACAUCAUCAUAAAAUAAACCCUCUUAAUUGUCGUUUUUUGUCAUUCAUUUCAAUUCAUAUUAAAGAAGUUAUCAUAAAUUUUUUUUUGAAAAAAAAAAACAGUGAAGUUGCAUUAUUGUUUGGACAGCUAGUAAGCAGCAAAUGAAUGCUUAAUUAUGACUUAUAGAUCAUAUGCAUCUCAAUCCUCCAACUCAGGAGUCAUAGUUAAAAGAAAGAUAUCAGAAAGGUACUUCUGAAAUUUGGUUCUAUUUUCUCUGUUCUGAACUUCUGAUAACAGAUAAAUCUCCUGGGAGAUUUUACUGAAGAAGACUUCAUUAAAUAAAGAGUUUGACAAUCAAAGCAGGAAUUAAAAUCUUAAAUCAUUUGAAAUAACAUUAUACUUCUGUUUUGCGAAUGGAUUUCAAUCUUCACAGCAAGAGAAAGGCAACAAACGAGGUUCUAUUAUUCGUUGGUAGGUACAAUGGAAUGAGCAACUGAAGCCGAACCUAUCUAUUUGUUGUUUAUUAUAUUACACAAACACAUCUAGUUGUUGUUGGCAUUCUAUUUUUCCCCAGAUCGUAACACAGGGAUGCUUUGUUCAUUUCUAAAGAAGUUACCAGGAUCAACUAAGGUCUUCACUUGAGCAAGUCUCCUGAAGUUAUUCUUGAAGUAGCUCAAACCCCAAAUGGUUGCUUGUGCAUAGCUUGUGUUAGCAUCCUUGUCCGUCCCCAAGUCAAGAUCCCUGUAGUUCAAAUAGGCAGCUCUUGGGGACUUGGAAACAUAUGCUGCCAUGUAGCCAUACACCAUUCUUGUCCAGCUAAUAUGUUUCUUAGUUUCUUUGUCAUCAUCCCAAGUGACAUAAUACUGGAUUUCAUAUAAGUUUCCUUUUCUAUGUGGGAAAGGAAUUUCUGAUUCGGAAAUCUCACUCAUUCUUCCGCCAAAAGGUGACAGUAUCAACAUGGAUGUGUCUAGCUGAAGCAUUCUCUGAUAUAAACCUUCCAAGCCAGCUUCUGAAAUUGGUUCUGUCACGUAGUCUGAUUUUGCUUUAAAGAAGCUCCUAGAUUGUUGAGUCCGCUGAAGCAGAACUUCUGUUUCAUUUAUUGGAAAGUUAGCCAAAAAUAGAACAGACUCAAUCCAACUCAUUUCAGUGAAUGCGGUCUGGUCUAAAUUUAACUCUGGGAAGUUUUCUUUCAUCCAAGGAAGAAGUUCCUUGUAAGUCUCGAGAAACAAGAAAUUGAAUACAACUUGAAUAGUUUUUCCACCGUUUGUACCAUUUUCAACUUGUAAAACCAAACGCAGGAAAUUCCCUUCAGGAAUCCUAUCUGCUAUUGCUUGCCAUUUAGAAACAAGUUUGGUUGCACCUUGUUCUAUGGUCUUUGAUUCCAUGUAACCUGUUACAGAUGGAGGAACCGGAACCAACCUAAGUUUCCAUGAUAGAAUGACUCCAAAGCUUGAGCCUCCCCCUCCUCUAAUAGCCCAAAAGAGUUCUUCUCCCAUGGAUUUUCUGUCAAGAACUCUGCCAUUAACAUCGACAAUCUUAGCAUCAAGGACAUUGUCAGCUGCCAGACCAUACUUCCUGAACAAGGAACCAAAUCCACCUCCACUAAUAUGUCCCCCCACACCAAUAGUUGGACAAGUCCCUGCUGGAAAGCCAUAGACUUUACUCUUUUGUGCAAUUGCGUAAUACAACUCCCCAAGAGUAGCACCAGACUCUACCCAAGCGAUCUCAUUCUCUAUGUCAAUAUCAAUGGACCGAAGUUCGAAAAGAUCAAUCAUGAUGAAAGGAGUUGUCGAUACAUAAGAUAGGCCCUCGUAGUCAUGCCCCCCGCUUCGGGUUCUUAUUUGUAUGCCCUCUUUCUUGGAACAAAUUACAGCUGCUUGAACAUGAGAGUGUUUAAAAGGAGUAAUGAUAGCUUCUGGUUUUGGUGUUGAAGUGUUCAAGAAUCUGAGAUUCUGUAUGGAAGAUUGCAAAACUGAGGAAUAAGCAGAACUGUGUUUGGUGAGAAUAAUUUUGCUGCUUGAGUUAGAAUGUAUGUGGGAGGAAAAACAUUGAAGAAAGCUUUCAGAAAUUGAGUUUGAUGUUGUGCACCAAACUGAAUUGAGAAGGAUGAAAAGUAGGACUGGAACUAGUUUUACGUAAGAGAUCUCCAUUUCUCUGUGCAUGUGGAAUGGUAUGAGCUCUGAGCUCACUUAUAUAAGUAGUUUUGAGUUGAAAGAAAAAUGCAGCCAUUGGAUAGCCAUAAAUAAUUUUUCAAUAAUUGAAAAGAUAGGAGCAUACGCAAGAGACUGAAAAAAAAAUAAAAAUUGUACAGUAUUUUUAGACUUUUCAAAAACGUUUACAAAAUAAACAAGUUUCUUCAUUAACACUUGGCUAAAUGUUAAAGAUACAAAAAAUUAAAUAAUGUUUGCAAUGUGAAUCAUAUCAUCUAUGAAGUUGUCACCAAUUUGUUUUGUGUGUUGAAAUAAGAAAUACAACUAAUAUUUCCCUAUUUUCUGCAUCCGCACAUAGAAAAUAGCACUGAUAUAAUCUUUGAUGCUCCUACAGUGAUGGAAUAUGGUCUAAGCUUCUGGAGAAGUGUUGUAUACGUUGGUAGAGGAUGCAGACUUAUUUAUUAUUGUUUUCUACAUUGGGCCAAACCCAACUAUUUUAUUAUUUACACUCUCUUCCUGCUCAGAUGGUAAAACAGGGAUGCUUUGUUCAUUUCUAAAGAAGUUACCAGGAUCAACUAAGGUCUUCAUAUGAACAAGUCUCCUAUACUGACCAACAAGGAAACUGAGAAAAAUAUUAGAUGGAUGACAAGGAAACUGAGAAACAUAUUGCUUUGAAGAAGCUCCUAGAUGGCUGAGUCCUCUUCAGCAAAACUUCCAGGGAUUCACUUAUUGGGAAGCCAGCAAAGUGCAUCAAAGACUGGAUCCAACUCAUUUCAGUGCAAUUGCUGUGAUCUAAACUUAAUCCCAGGAGCUUGUCUUGCAUCAAAAGGAGAAGCUUCUCAACCGGUCCUAGAAACAAUGAAUCGAAUGACACUUAAACAAUUUGUACAACUAUUAAGGCCUUGCACAUUCAUGUCUCGUUUCUAGUAAAUAUACAUACAUACCUAGAACAAUUACUAAAGUUUAUACCUAGAACAAAUACUAUCUUAGCAUCAAGGACAUUGUCAGUUGCCAGACCAUACUUCCUGAACAAGGUACCAAAUCCACCUCCUCUAAUAUGUCCCCCCAACACCGUGUGACAAAUCCAUACCGAUUUAGAGUCUUGUCAAAAACUUAUUUUAAAAUUGGAGAUACAAAUGAUUUAAUAAUCAUAAUGGAUCAUAUUAUCCACAUCAUCAUAAAAUAAACUCUCUUAAUUGUAGUUUUUGGUCAUUCAUUUCAAUUUAUGUAAAAGAAGUCCUCAUACAAUUAUACUUUUCGUUGCAUUAUUAUUUGUUUGUUGAAAAAAUGAAGUUGUAUUAUUGUUUGGAUAGCUAGUAAGCACCAAUUUAAUGCUUAAUUAUGACUAUAUGAAAUGCAUAUAGUAAUCUCAAUCCUAAAACUCAGAGUCAAAGGCUGAUGCAUAAAGAAAGAUAUCCUGUUCUGUUCUGAUAACAUAGAAAGAUCUUGGGACUUUGUACCAAAAAAGACUUCAUUACUAAUAGAUAAAUAAAUAGUUUGACAAUCAAAGCAGAAAUUAAAAUCUUUAAAUUAUUUCAAGUAAAAUCAUACUAUAGAUUUGCAAAUGGAUAUAAGUCUUCACAGCAAGAGAAAGGCAACAAACGAUUCUAUUAUUGGUUGGGACAAUGGAAUGAGCAACCAAAGCUGAACCUGUCUAUUUGUUGUUUAUUCUAUUACACAAACCCAUCUACUUGUUGUUGACAUUCUAUUUUUCCCCAUAUGGUAACACAGGGAUGCUUUGUUCAUUCCUAAAGAAGUUACCAGGAUCAACUAAGGUCUUCACUUGUGCAAGUCUCCUAAAGUUAUUCUUGAAGUAGCUCAAACCCCAAAGGCUUGCUUGUUUAUAGCUUGUGUUAGUAUCCUUAUUCAUCCCCAAGUCCAUAUCCCUGUAGUUCAAAUAGGCAGCUCUUGGGGACUUGGAA